RNAcentral lists this long non-coding RNA (219 nucleotides) under Carica papaya (papaya). RNAcentral's name for it is "long non-coding RNA (CPAP_LNC007734)". Lineage: Eukaryota; Viridiplantae; Streptophyta; Magnoliopsida; Brassicales; Caricaceae. The record is from RNAcentral.
ACAAGAAGGCUGAAGAAACCUUAUAAAUAACACAUUCAAGCUAAUGACUUUGAAGAAAUAUUCUUAAUUUUAAAUGAAUGGUAAAACACUUCCAAUAAGGUAUAUUUGUAAGCAAUUUCAACAAGAGUCAUAAGAGAAGACAUUAACUUUAAAGGAUGAUUCUUAACCAAUUACAGAUAACAGCUACUCUAAGUGACAACAUCAUAAAUUACACAUGUU